AGUGAACGCUGGCGGUAGGCCUAACACAUGCAAGUCGAACGGCAGCACAGUAAGAGCUUGCUCUUACGGGUGGCGAGUGGCGGACGGGUGAGGAAUACAUCGGAAUCUACUUUUUCGUGGGGGAUAACGUAGGGAAACUUACGCUAAUACCGCAUACGACCUACGGGUGAAAGCAGGGGAUCUUCGGACCUUGCGCGAUUGAAUGAGCCGAUGUCGGAUUAGCUAGUUGGCGGGGUAAAGGCCCACCAAGGCGACGAUCCGUAGCUGGUCUGAGAGGGUGGUCAGCUACACUGGAACUGAGACACGGUCCAGACUCCUACGGGAGGCAGCAGUGGGGAAUAUUGGACAAUGGGCGCAAGCCUGAUCCAGCCAUACCGGGUGGGUGAAGAAGGCCUUCGGGUUGUAAAGCCCUGUUGUUGGGAAAGAAAAGCAGCAGGUUAAUACCCCGCUGUUCUGACGGUACCCAAAGAAUAAGCACCGGCUAACUUCGUG
This 492-nucleotide ribosomal RNA is filed under the name uncultured bacterium. RNAcentral describes it as "partial 16S ribosomal RNA". It matches the Rfam family "Bacterial small subunit ribosomal RNA", at positions 29 to 507 of the family's 1533-position model. The record is from RNAcentral.